GGCACUGACUGGGUACUGGUGAAGUUCCCCGCAGGAACUGAGUCAGACCCCAUCUCAGGGCCCUGCAGAAGAUAGGUGCCUGCUCUAAGGCGUGGACCCUCGCGACAGCCCUGGCCCGUCUUGACGGGCGAGGGUUACUGUACUUGUCCCAAUCGUACAGAUGAGAAAGCUCAGACUCAGGGCCAGCAACCCCGGUCCCAGCGGAGCGCCCGGCACGCGCCGACACUUCAGCACCAGUCGCGGUGGCCACCACUGUGCGCGGAGAUGGCUGCGACGCGUGCGCAGAUCUCGAUCCCAAACUCCCUCCUGCCAGAAUCUGGACCCGAAUCCACCCAUUGCCCAUUUUCCGCUGCCGCUGGAGAGAAUCUCUGAGGUCCCCAGGACAGCCUGCCUGCACGGAAGAGAUGCCUCCUCAGUAUGGCCGCCCCCGGAGAGGAGCGAUUAAGUGCAGACCCCCAUGUUGCUCUUGAGCCUGAGCGGCUUCAGGGAGCCAUGUUUGUUACUGGCGGGCGCCGGCCUCACUGAGCAUGUGCAGCCCUGGCCGGGCGGCCUCAAAGUUCUGACAUCACAGGGCGGUUCCUGAAGUGGACGUAGUUGUAAGAGCUAGUUAUUUUAGACAAUGCCUCUGGGAUCAGGGACUCUAAUCUGGAAAUAGGUAGUGGGAGAGGUCGGUGAUGCUGUCUCGGGGUCAGAGACCUGAGCUAUAUGGGGUUAGAGAGGGGCCCUGGGCAGGCGAGUCUCUGGGGAGUGUGGUGAGAAUCCUUGUGUAAGAUGCUGGGAGGAGGUGGGGUCAGGGCUGGGGUCCGUGGGCCGACGGGUUGGGGGAUGGCCAGCGUCAGGGAUCAGUAGUAGAGAUUCUAUGUGCCCUGAUCGCCAGUAGAGGUUUUAAAUACAGAGUAUUCAUGAGUUUAGCAAUGUUAUUCGCCUCUCAUAAUUUAAAUAAUUUGAAGUUUUCCCCCAGUAACUAGUGUCUUAGAAGUCAUGAAAAUUUCAGAAAAUGACAGGUCUUCUGAGUUCGUGAUGGGAGUUGGGCAGCAGUCGCAUACGAGCACCUGGAGAGUCCUUGCCAGUUCUUUGGGGAUGGGGAGCUCUUAAGACUGCCCUGAGACCGCCCUUUGACCUCAUUAUGGUCCUUUCUAGAUUAAAUGCUGUUUUCCAUGACCGUCUCUGUUCUUCCCAUACGCGAAUGGCAGGCAUCCAGAUCUCCAAGAAUAGAGGAUUAGGAGAGACUCCACCACCUAUGUCCUCACAGUUAAUUAUCGAUUUGUGUCACUUGCCCAUUUUCUCACUUCCUGUUUGUGUGUCAAGGAGUAUUAAUAAAUCUUUGCCUAUUUAAAGAUACUAGCCUUGGAUUUUCAAAUAUUGCAUAUUUUGACAUGUAAAAAUGUGUUAGUUUUAUUUUUUCAACCGAUCUGACCUGUAUAGUUGGGCUUGAGGAAGCUUCCUCAUUGUACAUGUUACUAUGGAUUUUCUAAUAUUAACACAGGGUUGUAUUUUUUCCAUAUAACUUUCUAUUGAAUUUCUUUUUCCAUAUGAUAGGUGGUGAAGGUUUAGCCCAGUAAAGCAGAGAGGUUAAGAGGUUAGACUGGGGGCUCUGGAGCCAGACCUAUGUAGAUCUGAGUCCUGGCUCUGGCACUUGAAAGCCGUGUGACCUUGGUUAAGAUACUUAGCCCCUCUCUGCCAAAUGGAGAAAUAAGGGCACCUACCCCGUAGGGUAGUUGUGUGAGUACACAAGUUAAUACACUUCAAUCACUAGCAAGAAAGUGAAUGUCAAGCUGUAUUUGUUCAGGCAGCCAUAUGGUAGCCCCACCUCAUUAGUAAACUGAGGUAUUGAAGUAUCUUCUUUUUCUUUCAGAAAAUAUUUGUCAAGCACCUUCUGUGUUCUAAGAACUGUUCUAGAGCUUUGCAUGCUAUGGAGGUCUAGAAAUUCACAUUAUGGUGGCAGGUGACAGACAAUACAAAGAGGUAAAGCAAUUUCAUAUAGUGAUAACCUAGGGAGGCGUGCUAAAAGGAGCCAAGGUGUAGUGGUGACUGGAAGGUGACCAGGGAAACCACUGUAGGGUUUCUAACUGAUGAGAUCUGUGACAAAUCCCUGUGGUCAGCAGCAGGCAUUGGAUAUGUAACUUUAUUCUGUCCCAUUGAUCUUGUAGUCAACCCUGGUCUGUUCUGUAUUGUUUUAAUUACAUAAUCUUUGUAAUAAUCUUUAAUACCUGGUGGAGUGCUCUGUUUACUUAUUUCUGCAUAAUUAACCACCCCUAAGCUUAACUUACUCAUGGUUCUGCAGGAUGACUGCUCUCCAUGGUUCUAGGGGUUUCUGCAUGGGGCCUCUCACAUGUGCUACAGUCAAACAUUAGCCGGGGCCACAGUCAUCUGAAACUCACUUACACGGCUGACAAUUGAUGUUGGCUGUUGCCUGGAGAAGACAUAUGUGGCCUGGUGGAAUGGAAUGGUGACUAGAUUCAAGAAAGAGCUUCCCAGGAGCAAGGCUACCAAGAGACCGAAGUAGAGGCUUCAGUUUCUUUAAAAAAAAAAAAAAAAA
RNAcentral lists this long non-coding RNA (2539 nucleotides) under Homo sapiens (human). RNAcentral's name for it is "non-protein coding lnc-SPATA31A7-14:4". Lineage: Eukaryota; Metazoa; Chordata; Mammalia; Primates; Hominidae. The record is from RNAcentral.